GAUGAAGAACGUAGCGAAAUGCGAUAAGUAAUGUGAAUUGCAGAAUUCAGUGAAUCAUCGAAUCUUUGAACGCACAUUGCGCCCCUUGGUAUUCCGAGGGGCAUGCCUGUUCGAGCGUCAUUAUAACCCCUCAAGCUCAGCUUGGUGUUGGGGCCUGCUGCACUGGCAGCCCUUAAAAUCAGUGGCGGCGCCAUCUGGCUCUAAGCGUAGUAAUUCUUCUCGCUAUGGAGGUCCGGUCGUGUGCUCGCCAGCAACCCCCAAUUUUUUUCAGGUUGACCUCGGAUCAGGUAGGGAUACCCGCUGAACUUAAGCAUAUCAAUAAGCGGAGGA
This 330-nucleotide unclassified non-coding RNA is filed under the name soil metagenome. RNAcentral describes it as "partial contains 5.8S ribosomal RNA, internal transcribed spacer 2, and large subunit ribosomal RNA". The stretch from base 1 to 120 matches the Rfam family "5.8S ribosomal RNA", at positions 35 to 154 of the family's 154-position model. The record is from RNAcentral.